GAUGAACGCUGGCGGCGUGCCUAAUACAUGCAAGUCGAGCGAACGGACGAGAAGCUUGCUUCUCUGAUGUUAGCGGCGGACGGGUGAGUAACACGUGGAUAACCUACCUAUAAGACUGGGAUAACUUCGGGAAACCGGAGCUAAUACCGGAUAAUAUUUUGAACCGCAUGGUUCAAAAGUGAAAGACGGUCUUGCUGUCACUUAUAGAUGGAUCCGCGCUGCAUUAGCUAGUUGGUAAGGUAACGGCUUACCAAGGCAACGAUGCAUAGCCGACCUGAGAGGGUGAUCGGCCACACUGGAACUGAGACACGGUCCAGACUCCUACGGGAGGCGGCAGUAGGGAAUCUUCCGCAAUGGGCGAAAGCCUGACGGAGCAACGCCGCGUGAGUGAUGAAGGUCUUCGGAUCGUAAAACUCUGUUAUUAGGGAAGAACAUAUGUGUAAGUAACUGUGCACAUCUUGACGGUACCUAAUCAGAAAGCCACGGCUAACUACGUG
This 497-nucleotide ribosomal RNA is filed under the name uncultured bacterium. RNAcentral describes it as "partial 16S ribosomal RNA". It matches the Rfam family "Bacterial small subunit ribosomal RNA", at positions 28 to 507 of the family's 1533-position model. The record is from RNAcentral.